Non-coding RNA from Poecilia formosa (Amazon molly), 90 nucleotides. NCBI's taxonomy places the organism in Eukaryota, Metazoa, Chordata, Actinopteri, Cyprinodontiformes, Poeciliidae. The record is from Rfam.
UGCCGGCGUGGCGAGCGUCCUGCAUAUUCCUACGCCUUCCCAGAGUCCUUUGGGCCGUUACUGGGGAGACAAACCAUGCAGGACACAGAA